UCAGCAGCAUAUUUCACUCUUUCUGUGUUUUUGGGAAUGCUAAGCAGGUUACAGCCUUCUCUUUUGUGUUCUUCCAGCUCGCUCUUUCCUCACUUCCAGCAAGCACUGGAGCUGCUUCAAACAGGACACAGAUUUGUCAUCUUUAUUUUUGAACUAUUCGUCUCCAUUAUUUGUUAAUAUGCUGUGCCAUUACCACUUCUCCAAUCAACUGAAAAAUAUCCUGAAUAGCAAUAAGAGGAUCAGCACCUUCUAAAAUAAUUGUUUGAUCAGAUGCCCAUGAGCAGAUCAAUGAGUCUGACCCUAAUCGCAGGUAAGUUCAAAACAGCAGGACAGAUGUAGAGGCAUUACUGAUU
Dromaius novaehollandiae (emu) is the source of this 353-nucleotide long non-coding RNA. RefSeq lists it as uncharacterized. Lineage: Eukaryota; Metazoa; Chordata; Aves; Casuariiformes; Dromaiidae. The record is from RefSeq and is a predicted model, not a curated record. The transcript has 3 exons.